Molecule: long non-coding RNA, 1379 nt
Filed under: Anser brachyrhynchus (Pink-footed goose)
Lineage: Eukaryota; Metazoa; Chordata; Aves; Anseriformes; Anatidae
Description: lncRNA (ENSABRG00000019548.1)
Source: RNAcentral
UUCCAAACCUUUUCUGCUAUAUAUUUUCACUGUUUUUUGUCACCAGCUGUCAAUAUUAGUAGUUCCUGCACAGUCACUUGGAUGUUGAAAGAAAGCAAUUGGAAUUCAAAUCCUAACUAAACAAUAAACGUGUAAAUGACAAUUUUGAUCGUCAAAUCUGCUGUAGGCAGAACAGAAUUAAGCCUCAAUAUAGAACUGCGAGCAGAGGAAAACAGCCAUCCUCUGUUACUAGGUUAAGGGCAACAACGUAAAGGAAGAUCUCUUAGUACUACUAGUCAAUAUUCUGUUAAAAGGUCUCGUAUUGACCAUCUGUAUUGUGCGUAAGAUGAUUAAAAAUGUAUGGUAGAUUAUCUGUGACUGCUUAGAGAGAAACACUGGAGAUGCUGAUUAUGUUUAACUCAAUGUUUUCACCUGGUUUCUAUCAAAAGUAGGGGUAAUUAGUAUGAAAACUUAGGAAAAAGUAAAACCACAGCUUUCUUUUAACUUCAGUAUUCCAUGGUAUGUACUCGUUGCCCACCUCUUUCUCCACUGAAUUUAAGUCUAAUGUAAAUGUACAGGUUGUGUAUGAGUGAGUCCAGCUUCCUCAAACAUCUUUUCAUCUUUUAUUAUUCCAAAAUAAUUGGAAAUUACUAGGACUGGCUAUAGUUCUUUUCUGCAUAUACGAGUUGUACAGCACUGUUAGCAAACAGAAAACGUUCAGCUGCUUUAUACGUUCACCUUCUAAGGUAAAUGCCACUUUUGUACUUUCAGGAUGUAGAAUGUGGUUAAUAGAGAAGAGACCAGGAAGAGAAGACAAAUGAUAAAAGCAAGGACCUUUGGUAGACACCUGGACGUAGACAGUGGACAAAGGAAAAAAAGAUCAUCCCACAUCACCAUGUGAGCUGCUGGAAUUGGGAGUGGGGGGAGGAUUACCAUGAAAACAAACUCAAAAGCUAAAGCUACAGCAAUUUAGUCCAGUGCCAGCUGAUUAUGUAAAAGUGCGGCUAUUUCAGUACCUCCUUAAAACAGUUUUAGUUGCAGCACAGUUGAUCAAUUGUGUUUUGCCUUUUCCAUCCAGCCUCUAUUUUAAGGUAAGAUCUUCCUCCCCCUUGUCACAGUUGACAAAUCAGGGCAGGAUGUCAUCAGCAAACAGACCUCUUUCUUCUUCUUUCUUCUUUCAGCUCGACAGACUAGGGGAAUUUACUGUAUGUGGUAAAAAAAAAAAAAAAAAAAGAGGAACAAAAAAAAAGGAGGAACAGAAAUCUAAUAUUCUGAGUUAGCUAGAAAGCAGAAGGAAGAUAUAAGGUGUCUUUCCAGAUGUUCUCUGACUAGAUGGACUCUGUUAAUAUUUAUCUUGGCUUUCUUUGUGUAUAUUUUAAAUAAAUAAAUAGUCUGUAACA